AUUGGAACGCUGGCGGCAGGCCUAACACAUGCAAGUCGAGCGGAUGAACGGGAGCUGCUCCCUGAUUCAGCGGCGGACGGGUGAGUAAUGCCUAGGAAUCUGCCUGGUAGUGGGGACAACGUUCCGAAAGGAGCGCUAAUACCGCAUACGUCCUACGGGAGAAAGUGGGCGAUCUCGGACCUCACGCUAUCAGAUGAGCCUAGGUCGGGUUUAGUAGUAGGUGGGGUAAUGGCUCACCUAGGCGACGAUCCGUAACUGGUCUGAGAGGAUGAUCAGUCACACUGGGAACUGAGACACGGUCCAAGAUCCUACGGGAGGCAGCAGUGGGGAAUAUUGGACAAUGGGCGAAAGCCUGAUCCAGCUAUGCCGCGUGUGUGAAGAACCAUAUCGGAUUUAAAGCACUUUAAGUUGGGAAGAAGGGCAGUAAGUUAUACCUUGCUGUUUGACGUUACCAC
Molecule: ribosomal RNA, 455 nt
Filed under: Pseudomonas citronellolis
Lineage: Bacteria; Pseudomonadati; Pseudomonadota; Gammaproteobacteria; Pseudomonadales; Pseudomonadaceae
Description: bacterial SSU rRNA
Rfam family: Bacterial small subunit ribosomal RNA
Source: RNAcentral